This 531-nucleotide ribosomal RNA is filed under the name uncultured bacterium. RNAcentral's name for it is "bacterial SSU rRNA". It matches the Rfam family "Bacterial small subunit ribosomal RNA", at positions 8 to 526 of the family's 1533-position model. The record is from RNAcentral.
AGAGUUUGAUCCUGGCUCAGGACGAACGCUGGCGGCGCGCUUAACACAUGCAAGUCGAGCGAUAACCAUGGCUUCGGCCAUGGGGAGAGCGGCGAACGGGUGAGUAACACGUGAGCGAUCUGCCCUCGACACUGGGAUAGCCCGGGGAAACCCGGAUUAAUACCGGAUAGCCUCUCGAGCCCACGGGCUCGUGAGAAAAGAUGGCUUCGGCUUUCGGUUGAGGAGGAGCUUGCGGCGGAUUAGCUUGUUGGUGAGGUAACGGCUCACCAAGGCGACGAUCCGUAGCUGGUCUGAGAGGACGAUCAGCCACACUGGGACUGAGACACGGCCCAGACUCCUACGGGAGGCAGCAGUGGGGAAUCUUGCGCAAUGGGCGAAAGCCUGACGCAGCGACGCCGCGUGAGGGAAGAAAGCCUUCGGGUUGUAAACCUCUUUCAGGAGGGACGAAGCUACUCGGGUUAAUAGCCCAGAGGGUGACGGUACCUCCAGAAGAAGCCCCGGCUAACUACGUGCCAGCCGCCGCGGUAAUUC